This 73-nucleotide transfer RNA is filed under the name compost metagenome. RNAcentral's name for it is "tRNA-Cys". It matches the Rfam family "tRNA". From Rfam's summary of the family: Transfer RNA (tRNA) molecules are approximately 80 nucleotides in length. The record is from RNAcentral.
GGGAGUGGUGGUUUAGCGGAAAAAUAGCAGAAUGCAAAUCUGCAGACACAGGUUCGAAUCCUGUCCACUCACA